GCCUGGGUGGCUCAGUCGGUUGAGCGUCCGACUUCAGCUCGGGUCAUGAUCUCACAGUUCGUGAGUUCGAGCCCCGCGUCGGGCU
Molecule: transfer RNA, 85 nt
Filed under: Felis catus (domestic cat)
Lineage: Eukaryota; Metazoa; Chordata; Mammalia; Carnivora; Felidae
Rfam family: tRNA
About the family: Transfer RNA (tRNA) molecules are approximately 80 nucleotides in length. Their secondary structure includes four short double-helical elements and three loops (D, anti-codon, and T loops). Further hydrogen bonds mediate the characteristic L-shaped molecular structure. tRNAs have two regions of fundamental functional importance: the anti-codon, which is responsible for specific mRNA codon recognition, and the 3' end, to which the tRNAs corresponding amino acid is attached (by aminoacyl-tRNA synthetases). tRNAs cope with the degeneracy of the genetic code in two manners: having more than one tRNA (with a specific anti-codon) for a particular amino acid; and 'wobble' base-pairing, i.e. permitting non-standard base-pairing at the 3rd anti-codon position.
Source: Rfam by way of RNAcentral